UGCGGGAUGGAGCAGUCUGGUAGCUCGUCGGGCUCAUAACCCGAAGGUCGUUGGUUCAAAUCCAGCUCCCGCAACCA
This 77-nucleotide transfer RNA is filed under the name Acinetobacter baumannii. RNAcentral's name for it is "tRNA-Met". It matches the Rfam family "tRNA". From Rfam's summary of the family: Transfer RNA (tRNA) molecules are approximately 80 nucleotides in length. Their secondary structure includes four short double-helical elements and three loops (D, anti-codon, and T loops). Further hydrogen bonds mediate the characteristic L-shaped molecular structure. tRNAs have two regions of fundamental functional importance: the anti-codon, which is responsible for specific mRNA codon recognition, and the 3' end, to which the tRNAs corresponding amino acid is attached (by aminoacyl-tRNA synthetases). tRNAs cope with the degeneracy of the genetic code in two manners: having more than one tRNA (with a specific anti-codon) for a particular amino acid; and 'wobble' base-pairing, i.e. permitting non-standard base-pairing at the 3rd anti-codon position. Lineage: Bacteria; Pseudomonadati; Pseudomonadota; Gammaproteobacteria; Moraxellales; Moraxellaceae. RNAcentral also lists the same sequence under 2 other names. The record is from RNAcentral.